AGGUGGUGGCAUGGUUGUCGUCAGCUCGUGUCGUGAGAUGUUGGUUAAGUCCCGCAACGAGCGCAACCCUCGACCUUAGUUGCCAGCAUUCAGUUGGGCACUCUAAGGUGGACUGCCGGCUAAAAGUCGGAGGAAGGUGGGGAGUGACGUCAAAUCAUCAUGCCCCUUAUGACCUGGGCUACACACGUGCUACAAUGGGCGGUACAAAGGGUCGCGAACCCGCGAGGGGGAGCCAAUCCCAAAAAGCCGCUCUCAGUUCGGAUUGCAGGCUGCAACUCGCCUGCAUGAAGCCGGAAUCGCUAGUAAUCGCGGAUCAGCAUGCCGCGGUGAAUACGUUCCCAGGCCUU
RNAcentral lists this ribosomal RNA (347 nucleotides) under uncultured Anoxybacillus sp. Its description in RNAcentral is "bacterial SSU rRNA". It matches the Rfam family "Bacterial small subunit ribosomal RNA", at positions 1036 to 1382 of the family's 1533-position model. Lineage: Bacteria; Bacillati; Bacillota; Bacilli; Caryophanales; Anoxybacillaceae. The record is from RNAcentral.